GGGUGAUUAGCUCAGCUGGGAGAGCACCUCCCUUACAAGGAGGGGGUCGGCGGUUCGUCAUCACCCACCA
This 70-nucleotide transfer RNA is filed under the name Klebsiella pneumoniae. RNAcentral's name for it is "tRNA-Val". It matches the Rfam family "tRNA". Rfam says of the family: Transfer RNA (tRNA) molecules are approximately 80 nucleotides in length. Their secondary structure includes four short double-helical elements and three loops (D, anti-codon, and T loops). Further hydrogen bonds mediate the characteristic L-shaped molecular structure. tRNAs have two regions of fundamental functional importance: the anti-codon, which is responsible for specific mRNA codon recognition, and the 3' end, to which the tRNAs corresponding amino acid is attached (by aminoacyl-tRNA synthetases). tRNAs cope with the degeneracy of the genetic code in two manners: having more than one tRNA (with a specific anti-codon) for a particular amino acid; and 'wobble' base-pairing, i.e. permitting non-standard base-pairing at the 3rd anti-codon position. Lineage: Bacteria; Pseudomonadati; Pseudomonadota; Gammaproteobacteria; Enterobacterales; Enterobacteriaceae. The record is from RNAcentral.